RNAcentral lists this ribosomal RNA (468 nucleotides) under uncultured bacterium. RNAcentral describes it as "partial 16S ribosomal RNA". It matches the Rfam family "Bacterial small subunit ribosomal RNA", at positions 28 to 507 of the family's 1533-position model. The record is from RNAcentral.
GACGAACGCUGGCGGCGUGCUUAACACAUGCAAGUCGAACGGAAAGGCCCUGCUUUUGUGGGGUGCUCGAGUGGCGAACGGGUGAGUAACACGUGAGUAACCUGCCCCUGACUUUGGGAUAACUUCAGGAAACUGGGGCUAAUACCGGAUAGGAGCUCCUGCUGCAUGGUGGGGGUUGGAAAGUUUCGGCGGUUGGGGAUAGACUCGCGGCUUAUCAGCUUGUUGGUGGGGUAGUGGCUUACCAAGGCUUUGACGGGUAGCCGGCCUGAGAGGGUGACCGGCCACAUUGGGACUAAGAUACGGCCCAGACUCCUACGGGAGGCAGCAGUGGGGAAUAUUGCGCAAUGGGCGGAAGCCUGAUGCAGCAACGCCGCGUGCGGGAUGACGGCCUUCGGGUUGUAAACCGCUUUCGCCUGUGACGAAGCGUGAGUGACGGUAAUGGGUAAAGAAGCACCGGCUAACUACGUG